Molecule: ribosomal RNA, 424 nt
Filed under: uncultured Clostridia bacterium
Lineage: Bacteria; Bacillati; Bacillota; Clostridia
Description: bacterial SSU rRNA
Rfam family: Bacterial small subunit ribosomal RNA
Source: RNAcentral
GUAGCCAAGCAGGUAAAAGGCUGGGGACUCGCGAGAGACUGCCCGGGAUAACCGGGAGGAAGGUGGGGGAUGACGUCAAAUCAUCAUGCCCCCUUAUGAUUUGGGCAACACACGUGCUACAAUGGCGUAAACAAAGGGAGGCGAAGGAGCGAUCCGGAGCGAAUCCCAAAAAUAACGUCUCAGUUCGGACUGAAGGCUGCAACCCGCCUUCACGAAGCUGGAAUCGCUAGUAAUCGCGGAUCAGAACGCCGCGGUGAAUACGUUCCCGGGUCUUGUACACACCGCCCGUCACACCAUGAGAGUCUGCAACACCCGAAGUCAGUGACCCAACCGCAAGGGGGGAGCUGCCGAAGGUGGGGCCGAUAACUGGGGUGAAGUCGUAACAAGGUAGCCGUAUCGGAAGGUGCGGCUGGAUCACCUCCUU